CGGAGGAAAAGAAACCAACAGGGAUUGCCCCAGUAACGGCGAGUGAAGCGGCAACAGCUCAAAUUUGAAAUCUGGCUCUCGGGCCCGAGUUGUAAUUUGUAGAGGAUGCUUUUGGUGAGGUGCCUUCCGAGUUCCCUGGAACGGGACGCCAUAGAGGGUGAGAGCCCCGUCUGGUUGGACACCGAUCCUCUGUAAAGCUCCUUCGACGAGUCGAGUAGUUUGGGAAUGCUGCUCUAAAUGGGAGGUAUAUGUCUUCUAAAGCUAAAUACCGGCCAGAGACCGAUAGCGCACAAGUAGAGUGAUCGAAAGAUGAAAAGAACUUUGAAAAGAGAGUUAAAAAGUACGUGAAAUUGUUGAAAGGGAAGCGCUUGUGACCAGACUUGGGCUUGGUUGAUCAUCCGGGGUUCUCCCCGGUGCACUCUUCCGGCUCAGGCCAGCAUCAGUUCGCCCUGGGGGAUAAAGGCUUCGGGAAUGUGGCUCUCUCCGGGGAGUGUUAUAGCCCGCUGCGUAAUACCCUGUGGCGGACUGAGGUUCGCGC
This 538-nucleotide ribosomal RNA is filed under the name fungal endophyte. RNAcentral describes it as "eukaryotic LSU rRNA". It matches the Rfam family "Eukaryotic large subunit ribosomal RNA", at positions 51 to 600 of the family's 3401-position model. The record is from RNAcentral. Lineage: Eukaryota; Fungi.